Non-coding RNA from Pimephales promelas (fathead minnow), 894 nucleotides. The record is from RefSeq and is a predicted model, not a curated record. NCBI's taxonomy places the organism in Eukaryota, Metazoa, Chordata, Actinopteri, Cypriniformes, Leuciscidae.
AACCCAGCAGUAGAAUGGAGCCUUUAUGAGUGCUUAAACUUGUGGGUACUAAAACUCACAAUAUUGUAGCAGGUAAAGGAUUUCUGAAAACGACAUUGAUUGUAUAUAGUUAAAUUAAAUAAGUUGAGCAUUUAAAUAUAAGAGUUCAUAAAAAAUAAACUGUAAGGAUUUAUGUUGACGCUUCCCCUUUAAGAAAGUCACCCCGACCGCGUGCAGCAGCUGCGCGCACCAUUUUGUACAGCUACAGAGGAAGAGUGAAGCAGAGAGAUCGCGAGCAGAUUCACUUUGAGUUUAACUUGAGUAAAGUUGAUAUUAACACUCAAAAAAAGGAUAGAUACUGAUACUUGACUAGUUAGCAACCUAAACGGAAUGCAUUUGGGUGAAUGACGAUUGUUUGGUCAGGUUUUAUGUUCCAGAAAAAAAACGGACAAAGACUCUUCCUUGAAGUGUGUGUGCGCGUGCAUGGGCACACAUGUGGAAAAGACGUGCAUGACGAGAAAACUAAGAUGGCGAGCCAACCCGGAUUGUAAACGUCCUCAUCUCCUUUCGGUAACCAGGGGACCUAUCGCAUCACCUGGUAACACAUUGACAGAGCAUUAGGAGUGAUUGUUGUAUUUGGAUCGGAUUACUAUCCUUUUCUCAUUUUUUCCAACUCGAUUGGAGUUUUUUCCCAUUGAACAUUCUGAGCUGUGUUAUUAAGAAAAGGAAGUACACAGCUUUGUUGCACACAAACUGAACUUUAUUGCAUUCAUUGCAUGAACUGAAAAAAGUGCAUUACAUUUUCUGAAGUGAACUUUUCCAAUUUUUCCAUUUUAGUUCAUAGUUUUAUUGUGAUGUGAUUGUGUUGCUUUAAGUGCAACUAAUUUGUUUUCUUCUUUUACCUGUGGAAAAAAA